This is a long non-coding RNA of Daphnia magna, 691 nucleotides long. RefSeq lists it as uncharacterized. The transcript has 3 exons. Lineage: Eukaryota; Metazoa; Arthropoda; Branchiopoda; Diplostraca; Daphniidae. The record is from RefSeq and is a predicted model, not a curated record.
UGGAACCCUAAUAUUCGUCUGACGGUCGUAAAUUCUAAUACGUACUUCAAUUGGAAAUUUUAUUGGAUUCAAUUUAAUUUUUACACAUCUUGAUACGUGUACUAUAUGGAGUUGACUAUUGGAUAGUGUUGUGUCCAUUGCCAUUCUUCACAACACGUGUUGUGUCCGUGACCAAUCUUAUCAACACAACAGACUUUACACACCUGGAUACGUGUACUAUAAGGAGUUGACUAUUGGAUAGUUUAUUGUCCAUAGCCAUUACAAACAACACAUCAGGAAGCUGUUUUAUCAUAACAGAAAUGAAUGAAAAAAAAAUGGCUAGAUUUUGCCGAAAGCCAAAAGCAAUUUUCAAAGAAAGACAACAAAGAAACCGUGUCCCAGACAGAACGCUUCCGUCUUUUAGACGUCUUUUUACCCAGUGAUUGGGACCGUGGGUACCGUUUAAAAGACGUCUUUCCAUGGACCUCACUCGGAACCUUAAUGGUUAAUAUGUCCGGUUUUCCGGGUAUUAAAUGGGGCCAAAGCUGGUUUUAUAAUCGCCCCUUUCUUGGAUUUAUGUUUGCGUGUUGAGGGUUUGUUUUGGGCUUUUUGUGGGCGUUUGGUCUUAUACUUCGGUUUAAUAUUUUAUAGAUUUUCAUAAUGUUAUUAAAAUUACAAAUAAAUUUUAUAAUUCAUAAUAUAUUUCUCGCCA